CUAGGCUAUACAGACCGUUGGUGGUGAGGACCGUGUGUCGUCGUCCGCCCCUCCGCCUACUCCUCGUCAAAAUCAAAGACGAACUCAACAAUCCCGGUUUCUCCAAGAUUCCCCAAAAUUCAAUCUCUCAAUCCCCCCGGUCUCUCCAGUCUCCUCGUCGCCACCCAAAAUCCGAUCUCUGUCCAAUCUCUUCGUCGCCCCCCCUCUGACUCCUCAUCACAGUCCAACGCGAGAGCAGUGGAUCCGGAUCCAAAUCCCUCUCAUCUUCCUCGCCCGGGCUCCUCCUCCUACCACCACGCCACCAGCAGCCCAAUCCGAGACGAACUCGAGCAAUGGGGUGUCCGUUCCACAAAAGAUGCUCGAUUCCCGGAAUCCUCUGCCACGAAGUAUCACCAGAUCGACAUUGCCGUGCCCGAAGUAUGCUUGCAGCCGCCGUCUCCUUCGCGCUUGCCCAGCAGGCCAGCAGUCACCUCGCGCUCGCGAACCCACCUCUUCUGAAAGGGGCGGCAGCUCAGAGUGCCCAAACGCGAGCCGAGGGGCAGGAUCCGAAAGGGAAGGGCAUCGCCCAAACGGCAGAGAGAGAGGGGGAGAGAGAGAGAGAGCAUGCAGGAAGGAAAGCAGAAUCGGGUGGAGACAGAGAGGAUUGGGGAAAACUUGCCAGCCGGCUGUCCCUUCUCCCACUGCUCUGAGCUCCAGCAUUUGUAGAUCUGCGCGAGCCCUGCAAUGCUAAGCAUCUCUGGAGCAGAUACUCCUCUUCCACCUCCAUGCCAGCUUAUCCUCUUUUAUCUGUUCUGUUUGGGCUGCCGCAUCGCCACCCGAGAGAUGCUCUGUUCUGUAUUCUCUCUUCCCCUCAAGUUUCUGAGUCUUUGUAUUUGCACAGAGUUAUACUCUGUACUAGGCUAAGUUCGCACAUUGUCCAUGUAAAGAUCAUGGUAACUUUCGUCAAAAUAAAAGGAUCAUGAUAACAAGGCAUAAGAUUUAGUAGUUUUCCUUUCAAAAUGAUCUUCUCUUUGUAUUAUGGUUUCUUCGAGUCUUGAUAAAAGAGCUCAUGAAACAAGCUCAGUGAUCACUCCUAGAGGUAACUAUCUCCAUUUUUUAUCAGUGCUAACUCCAUCUAAAUAUGAUUUAAGAAAAACAAUAGGUUUGCUUUUGAGCUUCUUGCUGGAGAGUGGGCAGAUUAGUCACCUACUGUUUCCCACCCUGUUCUUGAUUAAAUAGGCUUUGUUCCAAUGUAUAUAAGAUGUUCAUACAGGUUAGCCUGUAAUGUUUUACCUGAUUGCCAAGUUUGGGCAUCUUCAGAGUUAUUAUCAAUUUGAAAUUAUUGUUUGUGGGUUUAGGCAUGUUCAUGUAUCAUUCCAGUCAAAUAGAUAGAUGGUUCAGAACUGUUCCGAGUAACGCAGUGGUUUGACGUAUAGCAUUUAACUUCUUUUGUGCUUUCUGCUCAUCAGAAUAUUUAGGAUAAAAAUGUGAUUAAUCAAUUAAUGUGUGGGGCUGUGUUUUUUCAAAAGAUGCAGAAUGUUUACAACAAAGAACUCAGGAUGAAACCUACUACUGAGCACAUGGUGUAUAUGUGUGUGUCUUGAUUGGACAUCUAUUUUUGGUGCCAAGUUUAUUGCAUUGAGCCUUUUUUUUUCCGGAUAGCUGGAUAUCUAGAAAGGGACAACGACAAAUUAUUUUUCGGCAUCUAAUUGCCAAAGUAAUCACACUGAGUUCCCCCAUCUUACUCUCUCAGAUCUACUCAAUAGGUUUAACACAUUUUUUGAAUGUUCUUUCUGUUUUCUUUUAAAUAUUUUGAGCAGGCUUGCGUUGCAGAAAAAAAACUAAUUUAACAGAGUCUUUCCUACAUCAAUUUACAAAUGCAUGAAUCUCUUUUAGAUGGGACUUGCUUAGUUUUCUUUAUAAAUUUAGGUCAUUAUCACUCAACCUAAUGAUCCAUAUAAUAUCUGGAUUCUUAUGCAAGGGCAAUGGUUGAGAAAAUUGCAUGACAGAAGGAAAAACACAGUGAUCGAACGGGAGAAGUGGGCAAAAUCGUUCCUCGUGUGUCUUCUUUGACGUGUUCAAGACAAUUUUUUUUUCUAAGCAACGCACGGCCAUUUCAACUAGUAGUGUUUACUAUCCCUUAAUUCCCUCGUUAACAAAAGGCUUCGUACGUCGUCUCACCAACUUCCGCACGAAAAAAAACCCGCAGCAAAAACCGUUUCCUCCGUACAUUUAAAGGCAAUAGAUCAAUUAGUCCCUGAUUACCUCCCGAUAAACUAAUCCUUAAUCCCCAGAUUUCCUCCAUCUUCCAGCUUUGCAUCUCCCUGCACCUGGGCUGCUCGUUCACGACCGCCACCCCUGCGCAACCGUCCGCGAUCUGCACAGAACAAACGACGACCGGGCGAUUUCAACGCUGGGUUUUCGAUUUCAAAGCACUUUGACAGGGCGAGGUCGACCAUGUCUGAUCAACCGCGACGGCGUCAUGCUACAUCGCUGCCGCAAGUAAUGGAUGAAAAUUCGACGCAAGGAAGAAUUCAAGAUGGGUGUACUAAUCGCAGCCGUGCUGCUCACGCUGCUCUAGACGACAUUACUAACAAGGAGACUCAGCCGUCCAUUUCGACACAAGUUCAAGGAUCCCCAAAUGUUAAGGACAAAAAAAACAGGCUAGAAGGGAGCUAGACCAAGCCCGCCGGGAUAAGCAAACACCCAAGGAGAGGGGGGCCAUAAAUGCCCGGCGACGGGAGCAAUACAGGUCCCGACGAAAUGGUUUGGCAUCUGAAGAUGUCAGGUCUACUUCUCGCAUGCGUGCUCAGAGGUCCAAUUUGACACAAGAGCUUCUUGAAAUACCCACCCAGCACCCAAGAAUUGAACAUCCCACGCAAAGUAAUCUCACCUUUCUGAGUGAAGAUCAAGAUGGACAAUUUCCAGAUGUUUGCAGAACACCCGAUGACCAGGGAAAAAAAAGAGGCUUCAAGGGAGCGAUACCUUGCCUGUCGGGAUAGUCAAACACCCGAGGAGAGGAAGGCCAUCAACGCCCGUAGACGGGAGCAAUAUAGAGCCCAACGAAAUGGUUUGACACCCGACGAGGUUGUGGCCAUAAGGCAACGAGACAGAGCAUGCCGGGAUAACCAAACACCCGAGGCGAAGGAGGCCAGCGCUGCCCGUAGAAGGGACCGAGACAGAUCACAACGAAAUAGUUUGACACCAGACGAGAGGGAGAAGAAUAGCGCAAGUCGGAAUGCAAAACUUGCGGCUAGGAGAGCCACACCAUGCCCUGAAUCCAUCGCGAUGCCAUGCCCAUAUCAAUCUGCCUCCGGCCAGGCGACAGGCGCUCCGGCUUCGCUUGCCUCCUAGUCGGGGCCUUCAUCGCCAACGUUCACCAUCGGAACUGACGGCACUGAUCAGAUUUAUGGCCUGCUUCUUUUCUAGGCUCCUUGCUUUGUUGUACACUGACCCAUAUCACAACACAGGUGACAAGGACGCUUUCCUGAAGCAUCUCAUGGAGGCCGAGGAAGGAACACCCUUUUCCCGUGUUACAUGUGACAAGGACGCCUGCCAGGAUGGCUCUUCCAAUGAGUUGAUGGAUGAUGAAUACUAUAUUUUUGCUGCUGAAUGUUCUAAUAUCAAAGACAUGGACAUCGACGGGCCAGCAGGGGACUCUCGCGUGAGCGAUGUCAUCGACUCGUUUCAUUUCGUCUACUCCAACAAACCCGACAGAACCCAUAGCCUGAUGGAAGUCGACGACUGCGAUCAUUGUAAGACUAAAAAGUUUGAACAUGAGACCGACGGUUUCUGCUGUCGUGGAGGAAAGAUAGAGCUCGCCGAAGCGGUGCCAGAUCCUGACCCAGAGCUUAUGAGGCUCUGGUCUAACGCUGAUGCGGACUCGCGCCAUUUUCGGAACAGCAUUAGGUUCUUCAACGGUCACUUCUCUUCACGACCCUUGGCGUCAGCCUUGACAACAGAUAUACAAAUAUGAGUUCCGGGGUGUACACGUUUCGGGCACACGGAAUGAUGUACCAUAAUGUGCAUUGUUUCGGGCCUGGGUCGAAGCCAGAACAUCUACAGUUCUACUUCUAUGACGACAACCCCGGUCUAAGCCAUCACGCAGAAGCUACCAGGAUACUGGACCAAGAUGUGGUCAAAAAGGUGGCAAACAUCGUGAGAGGAAACCCCUACUCCGAGACGUUUAGGAGUCUAGGAGCAUGUGUGGGCAGCCUCGUAGAGUAUCGUAUCGACCUAAACACCGACAAGAAGCUAGAUCAACGGACAUACAAUACUCCGAUUGCUUCGGAGAUGGUGCUAUCUGGGUGGAGGGCACCGACUAAGCGAGGAGGUUUCAACGCAGCAUCACUCUAUACGGGGACAACAACGAGAGGUAUGGCAUACAUGCCACACAAGGCUGCUACGACCCGCUCUUGUACCCGCUGUUCUUCCCAAAGGGGGAGCUCGGGUGGCAUCCCAACAUCCCCAAAUGAGGCGUAAAUUGGGAACUUACCCAACGGUCAAGGGUGUCUAGCACCGACGAUCCAGAUGGAGGUCAUCAUCUAUGUGUAUCUGUCAGGGACUACUACUGUUACAGGUUACAGACGCGACCUGCGAUAUUCAACCCGAUAUUGCAUGGAGCACGGUUGUUCCAACAGUACGCAGUCGACAUGUACAUAAAGAUCGAGGGCACUAGGUUGAAAUGGUUUCGGGACAACCAGCCACUGAUUCGAGCUGACCUGUACAAAGGAGUGGUUGAUAGCAUCACAGCCGGGGAGACUCAAGCGAGCCAGAUCAGCAAAAGAAUUGUGCUCCCAUGGUCAUUCCAAGGAGGUCAGGACAGAGACCAGCCCAGAUGAUGUCGGUGGCAUGCAUGCAGCCGCCAGAAUUCUUACAGCAAGAGGUGGUAUGACUUCUCAUGCCGCCGUCAUGGCACGUGGUUGGGGCAAAUGUUGUGUCUCCGGAUGUUCCAGCAUCCAUGUAAAUGGUAUUGAGAAAGUGAAGUUGUCGCUGCACAUAUCCAAGAAAUGCUUUCUUAGGCACAACGGUUCAUAUGUCCUUGCAAGAAUGGAGAA
Molecule: long non-coding RNA, 5036 nt
Organism: Brachypodium distachyon (stiff brome)
Lineage: Eukaryota; Viridiplantae; Streptophyta; Magnoliopsida; Poales; Poaceae
Exons: 9
Source: RefSeq, a predicted model, not a curated record